Molecule: transfer-messenger RNA, 349 nt
Filed under: pig gut metagenome
Rfam family: transfer-messenger RNA
About the family: Bacterial tmRNA, also known as 10Sa RNA or SsrA, is named for its dual tRNA and mRNA-like properties. Its role is to liberate the mRNA from a stalled ribosome.
Source: RNAcentral
UUUUUGGCUUUCGACAUUUAUUACUAAAUAUGACUGCAAGUAGUAGGCAUACUUUAAAUGCAACAUUAAAAUUAAAUGACAAAGCUGAUUAUAGCUUUGCUCCAGCAUUUGCCUAAUAUAAGGUAAGGAGCACUUCUUUUAUUCUCUCUUAUAGGAAUAACUAGAGGUUCAUAUAUAUAAGAUAUAUUAAGUUAAUUGUUUAGGUUAAUUUAAUGAAUACUUACUAAACUCGUUAUAUUAUAGGUACGUAAUAGCCAGUAAUAUAAUUAAAUAAUAAAUCUUACUAAACUUGUAGACGUUAUAUCAUAGGAUAUUAUGGAUAGGGGUUCGAAUCCCCUCUACUCCACCA